ACGGCGCACGGAGGAGGUGCAAGGACUCCAGCAAGGACGAUCGAGCGGCCACCACUAGAUCCGUCAAGGAGGAGGUCAGGUCUGGCAGUCUUGUGUGGUGGCGGGGCUCCCUGACGGCUGCAGUGCGCAGGUGCGGCAGCGGUGGCGUGCAGGAGUGGCGCAUAGAUGGGCUUGGCGGGCAUGUGGGCUUGCAGUUUAUCCAUAGUUUUUUCUUUUUUCUGUUUUUUCUAUUCGAUUUAUCAAGGCGAGCAACAAACCGCCACAGUAAAGGUCACAUGUACCGUUACUUUUAUUCCAAGUCGGUAGUGGGCGGUGGUGGUUGGCACAAAGAUCUUUCGAAAAAAUGGCCAAA
This 352-nucleotide long non-coding RNA is filed under the name Sorghum bicolor (sorghum). RNAcentral describes it as "long non-coding RNA (SBIC_LNC015301)". The record is from RNAcentral. Lineage: Eukaryota; Viridiplantae; Streptophyta; Magnoliopsida; Poales; Poaceae.